AAACAAUCUGUGCAACUCUUUAAAAGUAGCUGAUAAUGCCCUACGAGUGGGAGAAAUUGUUAAUACUACAGCUGUUAGUCCUGUUCAUACAACCCUGGGCGGCAAACGGCGCUUGCUGUCCUCCGAGAUUCAAUAAAUGUGAUGACGGAACAAUUUCAACCCCGUGUUGCGGAAUACAUCGGUGCAACAUAUUCUGCUGCACUUGCACUUGUCGCAAAAGUAAAUCCAGAGCAGUGAAAUCAAAACGACAUAACACAUAUGAUUGUCACAGGCAUAAGCGAAAACAUUCACAUGCAGGUAGGCUAAUGUUAGAUGAAAAUAAUUAUGGCAGAAAACAUAAUUUUUGGAAUCCGUUCGAUUUGGAAUUUUAAAUCAAAAAUAUUUGCAUCUAAAUUAUUAUAUUUUUGUGACAACAUUCUAAUGCUGUAGAACAAUUGUAGAUAAUGAUGUUAUUAAUUUCUAAUAAACUAUCCAUUAAAUGGCCUUUUUAAAAUAGAAAUACCAUCUGGAAACAUCAUAGGUCGUUCGAUAAAUGGAAAAAACAAUUAUGAAUGUUAACUGUUGAAGUAUAUUAAUUUUAAUUAAUAUGUGUGAUGUUUUAAAUGCGUUUCAGUUAAUUUGCAUAAUAUGUAACAAAUCUAAUAUUGUAUUCGACACACUGAAAUGCACUAUAAAA
Drosophila innubila is the source of this 676-nucleotide RNA transcript. RefSeq lists it as uncharacterized. The record is from RefSeq and is a predicted model, not a curated record. The transcript is spliced from 3 exons. NCBI's taxonomy places the organism in Eukaryota, Metazoa, Arthropoda, Insecta, Diptera, Drosophilidae.